RNAcentral lists this unclassified non-coding RNA (262 nucleotides) under Hevea brasiliensis (rubber tree). Lineage: Eukaryota; Viridiplantae; Streptophyta; Magnoliopsida; Malpighiales; Euphorbiaceae. The record is from RNAcentral.
GUGUGAAGAGCGCAACCGGAGAGAUAUUGUUUUCAAGAUUCAUCCCUCAUAGUGAUGAGAAAGGUUUCAAUCAAGGACUUCACAGUUCACAAACAAGUUUUUCCAAGAAUGCAUUUGCUUCUGAUGUUACGUCGAUGCAUGCACCUUCUUUUGAGUUUUCUGUCUCAUCAGAAGAUGGAAUCAACCUUUAUAUUGACUUGAAUUCAUGCCCAACAGACACUUUUAAAAGAUUGGAAAAGAAGGUGUGUGUAUGUCACAAUCU